UAAAUGCUCUGUGUAAUAUCCUCUUGGGGAAAGGAUGAAAGCUUUCAGACCUAUCUGUUGUAAAGGUGUGCACUCAGCCAGAACACUAGUUUAUAUCUGUUGUCAUUUUGUUUGCAUUCAGGAACAUCAAUAAGGCUGUCACAGCGUUAUUAGUGACCACAAAUCUGCUCCUGAAAGCUUUUCUCUCUUGCUUGUCUCAGUCAGAUCCCACAUGCUGUUUUGCAAGGUGUCCUACAAUUAUUAUCAAGAACGAGGAGGUGGUGGGGUACUUCUACUACCUCAGAGCCCCUCCUCCUUGGAAUUCCAUUGCAGCAUAAUUUUCUGGUAUGGAGGUGAUGUUAGGUGUGCUACCUAGCAAGCAUGAAGUCCUCUUUCCCUUGGCUGAGGUUCUUCACUUCCAAGAAGACUUCACCACUCAGAAGAUUGCUGUCAAACUUUACUUCCCAUCACCGUUGGAGACAUUGUGUUUAGUGCCAGCCUGCACGUGCUCAGGUGACAAGGUUAGUUUCUCCUGGAUGUUGUUUAGCAUGUUCCAGUAGAUGUCGCAUUCGGCCUCAGAGGAAGACAUGAAAUCAAAUGUAAAGCAAGCAUUGCAGAUGUACCAUAUUUAACAUAGGCUGUGCUGGGAAAUGUCUGUGUUGUCAUACAGUCUGUGGAAAUACAAAGCAUAUAUCACUUAAAAGGUCCAGGUUUGUUGUUAUGCUGAUUUUAUAGCUCUUCAGGUACUGUUUCAUAGUCGUAAGUUUUCAUAGUAGGUUAAAGCAUCAUUUACAUCCUGGUGUCAUCACUCACUGCUGUUACUAAUGGCUUUAAAAUAGGUGUGAUUAGAAGCCUGCUUAUUAGGACUGGGGAAGCAGCACUAUUAAUAUUGUGUAGCACUUGUCUGCCUCAAGAGCUACCUGGGAGCAGGCUGAGGUUAAGUAGCUGUCCAACUGUUGUACAGCAACAACUAGGGUAACAUAAACUAAACCUUGCACAUCCAGAAAUGGACUGAAGUUAAUAUAGAUUAAACACCAGAGCUGGAUACUCAAAGUCCUUUUCUGUACUCCAUCCAUUGAAGGAAGAUUGCGUAAUUUGCCUUUUCACAGAGGCAAGUGCAGUAGUACUUGAUAUUUUUUGGAGCACUUCCACUAGCACUGACAACUGUGGGCAAAGCAGCAGCUGCCGCCUUCAUGGCCACGCCUCAGAGGGAUGUUACACAUGUGCACAUGAUAAUGAGAUAAUAAAAUUACAAACUACUACUUUGUUUGGAUGAAUGUUAGAGCAGCAUUGGAGAGACCUCACUCCAAGUGAGCAUCUUUGUGGGAAAGUCCUUUGAAUAUUUCCUGGUUUCUUUGGAUGCUAAGGGAAGUAUUGCAUUUUUCCAAGCUGAGAGCUUAGAGGUUAUAUAGUGAAUUAUUUUCAAAGUAUAGUAACAGUUUGCCAAACUUAAUGUGGAGCUGCAAAGGGUACUUCUAAGUACUAGUUCAGUGAGGUUUUUGCCACCUGAGAUAUCAGGAAAAUACCACAUAAAAGUCACUACAUCCUUGUGCUCCUUAAGCUCUUGAGUAUUUUUGGAAAUGUUAAGUUCAGGUUCAACUGCUCAAAUAUUACAGCUGCAAACUGUCCUAUCCUUAUUAUUUUAUUGAUUCAAUAAAACUGUGCCUUUUCUGCACAUUUUUUAGUGAAAACUAACUAAAGAUUUCUUCACCAGAAGUUGAGAGACAACAAAACUGUCUGAUGUCCCUCCUCUUGGAGGUGACUAAUUUAGGUAUCUUGAGAGAAUAUGCAACCAAGUAAAGGGACUGAAAUCAGUCUUUUUGCAAAAGUAUCUGGAAUAAUCACUGCAAUGAAUGAAAAAUGAUUUUUAAGUUAGGGGUCCGAAUGUUUUUCCUUCUAUGGAAAGCAGCUGGCUUGCAGUUGCUUUUGGUUUCCAUGCUCCCUUAUUAUAGAUGUCUGCAAAUUACUUGUUGUGAGUGUCUGAGGAGGAGUGUUGCAGAAGGUUCUGCUUCCCUUUCUUUCUGAAAAACAAGCUGGUGAAAUAGAGUUAAGCAUUCAUCACAAAUUUAAAAACUCUCACAUGAAAUCUGGAAUGUAGCUUCUAACUAUAAUUUUAGAUGUUAUGACAGAACUGAAUCAAUGCCCUAGAAACUAUGUACUUGGUGAGUAUUUGAAGUGUAUAGAAAUUGCCUUGCUUCCAGGGAAUGAAAUGAAGUAUAGAGGCUUUAGAUCUAGCCCAAGAUUCCCAGCUCUUGGACUCUCAGGGUUAAAUCUGAAUGUGUUUUAUUCUCAGUAUUAGAGUGGGGUGUAAAUGGAGUUCUUAAAAGAUUUGGCACGACGUAUGGCCUGUCAUAGGAGUUAAGGAUACAGUAUGCAAUUAUACCAUAGAAGUUUCUUGUGAUGCCUUGUUACCUUUUGAAAAACUAAAUGAAGUUUUUAAUUACUGAAGUGCUGUGUCUGAAGACAGCUAAUACUUGAUAUUCCAAGACUGAUAAACAUUUGCUGUGAC
Molecule: long non-coding RNA, 2488 nt
Organism: Oxyura jamaicensis (ruddy duck)
Lineage: Eukaryota; Metazoa; Chordata; Aves; Anseriformes; Anatidae
Exons: 4
Source: RefSeq, a predicted model, not a curated record